CGCCGCUGCUGCCCCGGCGGGAACCGCCCCUGGUCCGGCCCCAGCCCGCCGUGAGGGGGACGGGGCGGCCUGAGGGGAGCUGCCCGCCAUUGGGGUUUUGGCGCGGAGCUGCGGCGGCGCGUGUCGCGACAGGAGCGCCAGCCUGCCUGUGAGCGCUGCCCUCACCCUGUCGUGAUAGCGGCCUCAUCCAGUCCAGGGCAGGUAAAAUUUGACUUCCAGAGAGACUGAUAGACUGUGAACACAAAGGAUGGGGCUGCUGCUGGGAGAUUUCUGGAACUGGAUCUCUGUUCCUGCACAAAGAGCUCCUUGCUCCUUGGAAGUGUAAAGAGGCAGCGAGACAGAGUCUGAUCUCAGUGACAGUAACCAUGAGAGAUCACAGUUUGGCUUGAGUUCUUGCAUAGUGCCAUGAACAGUCCCACCAAGGCACAGGCUUCAGCCAUUCCGUGUAUUUGCUGAAUCACAAGGAAAAGUCACACUCUCUCUGACUUUUCAAGAUUGAAAGGAAGACAUGUAGGUGCACUCCAUGUAGGUGAGUAGCAAUAAUGUAAGAGUGAACAGCUUUUCUUACUCAUGGAGAUGACUCCAUUUUCAGGCA
RNAcentral lists this long non-coding RNA (595 nucleotides) under Chloebia gouldiae (Gouldian finch). Its description in RNAcentral is "Erythrura gouldiae (Gouldian finch) lncRNA (ENSEGOG00005012106.1)". Lineage: Eukaryota; Metazoa; Chordata; Aves; Passeriformes; Passeridae. The record is from RNAcentral.